UUAACUAUUAUAUAGUACUCAGACAUCACUAAAAACAGAGUUUGUUUCCUCUGGCAGGCACGCAUAAGCCGGAGCCCAUGGUGUUUCCACGGCCUGCCAAAGCAACUAAGGUAUAAAUAUUCAAGGGUGGGAGAUCUACCCGUGAGGGCAUGAACUCUGUAAUGAUCCUUCCGCAGGUUCACCUACGGAAA
This 191-nucleotide unclassified non-coding RNA is filed under the name uncultured fungus. Its description in RNAcentral is "sequence contains ITS1". The record is from RNAcentral. Lineage: Eukaryota; Fungi.